UAUUGGUCAAUGGGCGGGAGCCUGAACCAGCCAAGUCGCGUGAGGGAAGACGGUCCUACGGAUUGUAAACCUCUUUUGCCGGGGAGCAACGGGGUCCUUGCGAGGGCCCAAUGAGAGUACCCGGAGAAAAAGCAUCGGCUAACUCCGUGCCAGCAGCCGCGGUAAUACGGAGGAUGCGAGCGUUAUCCGGAUUUAUUGGGUUUAAAGGGUGCGUAGGCGGGAUGCCAAGUCAGCGGUCAAAUACGGGGGCUCAACCUGCGUCCGCCGUUGAAACUGGCGGCCUCGAGUGGGCGAGAAGUAUGCGGAAUGCGUGGUGUAGCGGUGAAAUGCAUAGAUAUCACGCAGAACUCCGAUUGCGAAGGCAGCAUACCGGCGCCCUACUGACGCUGAGGCACGAAAGCGUGGGUAUCGAACAGG
Molecule: ribosomal RNA, 417 nt
Filed under: uncultured bacterium
Lineage: Bacteria
Description: bacterial SSU rRNA
Rfam family: Bacterial small subunit ribosomal RNA
Source: RNAcentral